This 79-nucleotide small RNA is filed under the name Chimaeribacter coloradensis. RNAcentral describes it as "CyaR/Rye RNA". It matches the Rfam family "CyaR/Rye RNA". From Rfam's summary of the family: This sRNA was originally identified in a large scale screen of E. coli. It was shown to bind Hfq and called RyeE. This sRNA has since been characterised as a post-transcriptional regulator of the 18 kDa OmpX porin in Salmonella. The record is from RNAcentral. Lineage: Bacteria; Pseudomonadati; Pseudomonadota; Gammaproteobacteria; Enterobacterales; Yersiniaceae.
AAUUAAGAAUCAAAAACAGCUUUGCGAUAUUCAGGAACCACCUCCUUCGCCGGACCAAUCUCCCUUGGCCCGGCUUUUU